AGCGAACGCUGGCGGCAGGCUUAAUACAUGCAAGUCGAGCGCCCGUAGCAAUACGGGAGCGGCAGACGGGUGAGUAACACGUGGGAACAUGCCCUUCGGUUCGGAAUAACUCAGGGAAACUUGAGCUAAUACCGGAUACGCCCUUACGGGAAGAUUAUCGCCGAAGGAUUGGCCCGCGUCCGAUUAGCUAGUUGGUGAGGUAACGGCUCACCAAGGCGACGAUCGGUAGCUGGCUGAGAGGAUGAUCAGCCACACUGGGACUGAGACACGGCCCAGACUCCUACGGGAGGCAGCAGUAGGGAAUAUUGGACAAUGGGCGAAAGCCUGAUCCAGCCAUGCCGCGUGGGU
Molecule: ribosomal RNA, 348 nt
Filed under: uncultured bacterium
Lineage: Bacteria
Description: bacterial SSU rRNA
Rfam family: Bacterial small subunit ribosomal RNA
Source: RNAcentral